UGCGCGGUUAGUUAAUCGGUAGAAUGAAACCUUCCCACUUAAGAUUAAUAAGGAAAAAGGUUUAGAGCCGGGUUCAAUUCCCGGACUGCGCAU
RNAcentral lists this transfer RNA (93 nucleotides) under uncultured archaeon. RNAcentral describes it as "tRNA-Val(cac)". It matches the Rfam family "tRNA". From Rfam's summary of the family: Transfer RNA (tRNA) molecules are approximately 80 nucleotides in length. Their secondary structure includes four short double-helical elements and three loops (D, anti-codon, and T loops). The record is from RNAcentral.